Molecule: RNase P RNA, 416 nt
Filed under: Acidobacteriota bacterium
Lineage: Bacteria; Pseudomonadati; Acidobacteriota
Description: Acidobacteria bacterium (sponge metagenome) RNase P RNA component class A
Rfam family: Bacterial RNase P class A
About the family: Ribonuclease P (RNase P) is a ubiquitous endoribonuclease, found in archaea, bacteria and eukarya as well as chloroplasts and mitochondria.
Source: RNAcentral
CGGAGGACCGGACGCGGUCGCUCCCGGCGGGGAACCGCCGGGGGAGGAAAGUCCGGACUCCAACGGACGGCAUGCUUGCUAACGGCAAGGCGUGGUGACGCGACGGAAAGUGCAACAGAGAGCAGACCGCCGGUGCAACGGUUCCGAAGUCCGAUUCGGGCUUGCGGCGCUGGAGGGCCGGCAAGGGUGAAACGGUGCGGUAAGAGCGCACCGCUCGGCCGGCGACGGUGCGAGGCGAUGGCAAACCCCAUGUGGAGCAAGACCAAAUAGGGAGUGCGGUUCGGGCUGUCCGUCCCGAUACCGGACCGUUCGCGGUCCGGGACGCCCUCCGGGUAGGUCGCAGAGAUGAAUGGCCGCCUCCUUUCGCCUGACGGUGACGGGACGAACAGAAUCCGGCUUACGAGGUCCUCCGGCAC